Molecule: ribosomal RNA, 279 nt
Filed under: uncultured bacterium
Lineage: Bacteria
Description: partial 16S ribosomal RNA
Rfam family: Bacterial small subunit ribosomal RNA
Source: RNAcentral
UGCCAGCCGCCGCGGUAAUACGGAGGGUGCGAGCGUUAAUCGGAAUCACUGGGCGUAAAGCGUACGUAGGCGGCGUAUCAAGUCAGGCGUGAAAGCCCUCGGCUCAACCGAGGAAUUGCGUUUGAAACUGGUAUGCUAGAGUCUCGGAGAGGUUGGCGGAAUUCCAGGUGUAGGAGUGAAAUCCGUAGAUAUCUGGAGGAACACCGGUGGCGAAGGCGACUGACUGGACUGGUACUGACGCUGAGAUGCGAAAGUGUGGGGAGCAAACAGGAUUAGAUA